Molecule: non-coding RNA, 23 nt
Filed under: Arabidopsis thaliana (thale cress)
Lineage: Eukaryota; Viridiplantae; Streptophyta; Magnoliopsida; Brassicales; Brassicaceae
Source: RNAcentral
GGACACAAGCACUAGCCCUCCUC